This 1118-nucleotide unclassified non-coding RNA is filed under the name Limulus polyphemus (Atlantic horseshoe crab). RNAcentral's name for it is "small RNA 2'-O-methyltransferase-like, transcript variant X2". Lineage: Eukaryota; Metazoa; Arthropoda; Merostomata; Xiphosura; Limulidae. The record is from RNAcentral.
AUAUUUCUGAACACUCCCGGUUGCAUUUGAUUCGAAACUUUUAGCUUUUUAUGGUAUUUGAAGUUGUAAGUUGUAUCAAAUGUAGCGAAAUGGCGGGAUUACCAUUAAUACGAAGAAGCGAAACUGAAACUGAAAGACAUGGAAUGCAGUUUGACCCUCCGGUUUAUAUUCAACGUUAUAGAACGGUUCGUGAUAUUCUUGAAAAAGAAAAAAUUGUUAAGGUAAUCGAUUUUGGGUGUGCAGAAGGGAAGUUCUUAAGAUAUAUCAAGAAAAUUGAAACUCUUGAAGAAAUUGCUGCUGUUGACUCUCAGUACAGUUGUUUGAUGGAUACAAGACAAAUUGCAGCACCUAUAGCAUGGGAUUUCUUGUUUAAAAGAAAAAGGCCUUUGUGCAUCAAGCUCUAUGAAGGAAGUAUUUCUGACUGUGAUAUUCGUGUGGCUGGGUUUGAUGCUGUAACAUGUAUAGAGUUAUUAGAGCACCUUAGUGACCCAGAACUUGACAGAGUACCAUAUACAGUGUUUGGAUACAUUCAACCUAGGGUAGCAAUUUUCACCACUCCAAACAAAGACUUCAACUGUUUGUUUCCUGAACUAAAAGGAUUUCGGCACUGGGACCACAAGUUUGAGUGGGACAGAAUUGAAUUUAGAACAUGGUCCUUUGUUAUCCUGUUUCAUUGCCUUCUGUGGAGCCUGUCUAACCUGUGGAAGAUUUUGACUAGGUUUUAACACCUCCAGCCUUUGCUUCCGGUUAUUCCUCAUAAAAAAAAACAUGUACUUCCUCCUUUUUUUUUUGCUUGCUAUGGACAUUUCUCAGACGGGGAUACUUCUUCCAGCAAGACAGUGAUCUCAGGUAUGCAGCAGAUGUAUUGAAACAAUAUCUUGACAGUAUAGAGACCAAUGGAACACUCACGGCCAUGACUUGCUCAAAAAGUCCCAAUAUGAGUAUUUUUGAGGCUGACCAAACAACUUGGGUGAAUUGUGGUGUUUGAAUGUUAUAAAACAGUUUUCCAACUACACUGUUGACAUUUUUGGAAUUGGAGAACCUCCUUCAGAGUCAGCCAGUCUUGGCUGCUGUAGCCAACUUGCUGUUUUUAGACAGAUUUUGGUUAACAAUCACAU